CGGGUGAGUAAUACAUAAGUAACCUGCCCUAGACAGGGGGAUAACUAUUGGAAACGAUAGCUAAGACCGCAUAGGUACGGACACUGCAUGGUGACCGUAUUAAAAGUGCCUCAAAGCACUGGUAGAGGAUGGACUUAUGGCGCAUUAGCUGGUUGGCGGGGUAACGGCCCACCAAGGCGACGAUGCGUAGCCGACCUGAGAGGGUGACCGGCCACCACUGGGACUGAGACACGGCCCAGACUCCUACGGGAGGCAGCAUG
RNAcentral lists this ribosomal RNA (260 nucleotides) under uncultured bacterium. RNAcentral's name for it is "partial 16S ribosomal RNA". It matches the Rfam family "Bacterial small subunit ribosomal RNA", at positions 103 to 353 of the family's 1533-position model. The record is from RNAcentral.